AGGGUUUUAAUUUAAGAAAAUAUUGAGUUUUCAAGACGGAUAAUAAAUAAUAUUAUUUAAAUUCUG
RNAcentral lists this transfer RNA (66 nucleotides) under Amphioctopus fangsiao. Its description in RNAcentral is "tRNA-Trp". Lineage: Eukaryota; Metazoa; Mollusca; Cephalopoda; Octopoda; Octopodidae. The record is from RNAcentral.